GGACUACAAGGGUUUCUAAUCCUGUUUGCUCCCCACGCUUUCGCGUCUUAGCGUCAGAAACCGUCCAGAUAGCCGCCUUCGCCACUGGUGUUCUUCCCAAUCUCUACGUAUUUCACCACUACACUGGGAAUUCCACUAUCCUCUCCGGUCCUCUAGCCACCAAGUAUCGAGUGCCAUUCUUGAGUUGAGCUCAAGGCUUUCACACCCGACUUUGGCAGCCGCCUACACGCGCUUUACGCCCAGUAAUUCCGAACAACGCUAGCCCCCUUCGUCUUACCGCGGCGGCUGGCAC
RNAcentral lists this ribosomal RNA (292 nucleotides) under uncultured Alphaproteobacteria bacterium. Its description in RNAcentral is "partial 16S ribosomal RNA". The record is from RNAcentral. Lineage: Bacteria; Pseudomonadati; Pseudomonadota; Alphaproteobacteria.